Molecule: RNA transcript, 2789 nt
Organism: Humulus lupulus (European hop)
Lineage: Eukaryota; Viridiplantae; Streptophyta; Magnoliopsida; Rosales; Cannabaceae
Gene name: isochorismate synthase 2, chloroplastic
Exons: 20
Source: RefSeq, a predicted model, not a curated record
CAUCGUUACAUUUUUGUAUAACACAAGAGUUUGUCUAUCCUCUCUCUUUCUCUCUCCUAUGGCCAGUUCUGUGGCUGUAGCAAGGCAUUGCCUUGGUCGUUUCAUGGACUCAGAAUCAGCCAAUUAUGGCAUAUCUACCUUACAGAUUUCUAGCAGGCCUUCCAAUUAUAUUCGAUUUCCUCAUAGAAGGUAUCAAUUAUGUGUUCUGUCCAUGAAUGGCUGCAAAGGAGACCCCCAUUUCCCUCUUGGCACCAAUGAAACACGUACUCUACCUUCAGUUCCUUCGCAUGCAGUGGCUCUGGACAAGCUCAGCUCUGCCAUUUCAGAUUUGAAACACCACCCACCUCCUUUCUCCUCUGGAAUUAUACGUCUUCAGGUGCCAAUCCAGCAGCAAAUCGAUGCCAUUGAUUGGCUCCAUGCCCAAGACAAGCUUCUUCCUCGAUGUUUUUUCUCUGGUCGAAGCCGAAACGAAAGUUACAAUCUUUUUAUUGAAAAUAGCAAAAGCAACGGAAAUGGUUACAACUCUAAUUUGGUCAGCGUUGCCGGAGUGGGCUCCGCUGUCUUUUUCAGACAUCUUCAUCCUUUUUCAUAUACCGACUGGAAAUCCAUAAAGAGGUUUCUCUCUACAGAAUGCCCUCUGAUCCGUGCUUAUGGGGCUAUCCGUUUUGAUGCGAGAACUAACAUAUCAUCUGAAUGGGAGCCUUUUGGUUCAUUUUACUUUAUGGUUCCUCAGGUUGAGUUUGAUGAGUUUGAAGAUAAGUCGAUACUUGCUACAACUGUUGCAUGGGACGAUGCUCUUUCGUGGCCAUGGGUAAAGGCAAUCAGUGAAAUUCAAGCUAGGAUAUCUCAGGUCUCUUCAAUUGUUAUAAAGUUAUCAAAAGAAGUUCCUAAGACAUUUGUAUUCAGUAGCAAACACACCCCAAGCAAGGAAUAUUGGGAUCUUGCUGUUAACCGAGCUUUAAAGAAAAUUAGUAGUGACUCAGCACUUACUAAGGUUGUACUUGCCAGAAGCAGCAGAGUAGUGACUACUAGUGAUGUUGAUCCUGUAACAUUAUUAGCCUGCUUACAGGUUGAAGGUAAAAAUGCUUAUCAGUUUUGUCUGCAGCCACCUAAUGCACCAGCUUUUAUUGGAAACACGCCAGAGCAACUAUUUCGCAGAAAAUGGCUAGGCGUUGAGAGCGACGCUCUGGCUGCAACUUGUGCCAGAGGUGAUACAAUUACUGAAGAUCUUCAAAUAGAACUUGACUUACUCUCCAGUCCCAAAUACCACCUUGAGUUUUCUAUUGUGCGAGAAAGUAUAAGACAAAAGCUGGAGGAUGUUUGCUAUUCUGUAAUAGUUGAACCUAAGAAAGCAGUGAGAAAACUACCAAGAGUUCAACAUUUAUAUGCCAAACUGGUUGGCAAGUUAAGAAGAGAGGAUGAUGAAUUUGGAAUUCUAUCUUCUCUUCACCCAACUCCAGCUGUGUGUGGAUUUCCAACAGAGGAUGCACGGCUUUUAAUUGCUGAAACUGAAGUAUUUGACCGAGGAAUGUAUGCCGGCCCUGUUGGUUGGUUUGGAGGAGGAGAGAGUGAAUUUGCAGUUGGCAUCAGGUCAGCUUUAGUUGAAAAGGGUGUUGGUGCACUGAUCUAUGCUGGAACAGGCAUUGUGGAAGGUAGUGAUGCGUCACAAGAGUGGAAAGAGUUGGAUCUUAAAGUUUCUCAGUACACCAAGUUGCUUAAACUUGAAGUUUCUCUAAGAGAAAAAGUUACUAGUUUAGAGGACCACUAGUUAUGAAAGCCCUGAAUUAGCUGGUUAUGGAGGAAUGUUUAAAAAUGGUCAGAUUUUUGUGAAAAGGAGCUUUUACAUACCAUCUAUAAUCUGUCAGAUUAGCUCUUGAAGAAAUCUCAUUUUCCUUUUGGAUUGAAUGUGACUCAUCUUAUGCUAUUCUUCUUUUCAACAAUAAAGAAGACAUCCCUUGGUGUUAAGGAAUCUACCCAUUGUUCUUUCAGGAUGUCAAUCAAACAGAGUUUCCUAACUGUUCCGAUGAAAAAGAUCAAUGUCUGAUUACAUGAGUUAGAAAGGGUGCUGUGCAUGUAUCAAAAGUUUCCAGUGCUGUGCAUAAAAUAAAAAAUUCUGUAACUGAUGUAGAUAAACAAAAUACACAAGAAAGCUUCCAGUGUAUUGAUUUUAAGAGAUUUUUGUUCCUGUAUUGGAUAGGCGUGCAGACAAAAUUUCCAAGUAUGCCAUUCCUGCAUCUGUUUUUAUUGUGGUUGUGUUAAACUCCUACAGCAUCUGUCAUUGCUGAAGUUAAGAGCACCUGAAAAGCGAGUGAGCCUCGUCACAAAUGUCCCAGGCUUUGCAGUGAUCACGUCUUUCUUAGGCACUUUCUUAACUGUAUUACCGGAUUCAACAAAGAAUGCUCCAUUCAUCAAGAGAUCACCCUCCGACCUCCAAUUCCAUGUCUUCCACACACUCUCAGAGAACUCUGUGCAUUUCGCCUUGAAGGAAUCGACCGCACAAGAUUGAAGGCCACUCGAAAGGUGUGGGAAAAAUAUUCUUUGGAUGAUUUUUUACUCUGUAUUUAGGGUUUUGAGUAUUUUGGAAAGUUAUUGAUGUUUUCUUGGUGUGCAAUCUUCAAGUUUUGAUUUUUGACAGUCUUGUACUAGAAAUAAGACUUUGAUUGUAAGGUUUGAUUUUUUUUUUCCUGUUAGGGUUUUCUAUUUGGUCACUGUUAUAUUGUUGUUGGUUGGUGUGGGUUCUAAUGAAAUUUUAAGUCAUUGAUGGAGUAAUGUGUUUGUUUUUUGAUAAA